GAUGAACGCUGGCGGCGUGCCUAAUACAUGCAAGUCGAGCGAACAGACGAGGAGCUUGCUCCUCUGACGUUAGCGGCGGACGGGUGAGUAACACGUGGAUAACCUACCUAUAAGACUGGGAUAACUUCGGGAAACCGGAGCUAAUACCGGAUAAUAUAUUGAACCGCAUGGUUCAAUAGUGAAAGACGGUUUUGCUGUCACUUAUAGAUGGAUCCGCGCCGCAUUAGCUAGUUGGUAAGGUAACGGCUUACCAAGGCAACGAUGCGUAGCCGACCUGAGAGGGUGAUCGGCCACACUGGAACUGAGACACGGUCCAGACUCCUACGGGAGGCAGUAGUAGGGAAUCUGCCGCAAUGGGCGAAAGCUUGACGGAGCAACGCCGCGUGAGUGAUGAAGGUCUUCGGAUCGUAAAACUCUGUUAUUAGGGAAGAACAAAUGUGUAAGUAACUAUGCACGUCUUGACUGUACCUAAUCAGAAAGCCACGGCUAACUACGUG
This 497-nucleotide ribosomal RNA is filed under the name uncultured bacterium. Its description in RNAcentral is "partial 16S ribosomal RNA". It matches the Rfam family "Bacterial small subunit ribosomal RNA", at positions 28 to 507 of the family's 1533-position model. The record is from RNAcentral.